UGGGACUAGUCAGCAUGCAUCAAUAGGAGAGUUAACUUUUCUUGGGAAGAAAUGAAGUGGAAAUAUGGUUGCUGCCUAAGAAGUAAUAAUAGGAGAUACAGGAAGCAGUUUGAAAUGGAAUAGAAACAACUUGUGAUAGAGGACAGAAGCCAUAUCAGAAGUCACGGAAUUAAUUAUGUGAGUCUGGGAUCAGUGAGAGAUGAAAAUUGAGAAGAAAGAAAACUGUAAGACUCUGUGACUUGAAAAAUCCAGGAGAGACAGGCAACUGAAUUGCUACAUUGUAUUUUCUCUUAAACCCAAGAAAAUUCCCUGUGUUAGAACAACUUGAAUGAAAAGAAGAAUAAACAGGUGUCCAACAAUAACAUUUCCAAGAUAGGAAGAAAGCGAGGGUUCAAAACGGAGGUAAGUAA
RNAcentral lists this long non-coding RNA (410 nucleotides) under Homo sapiens (human). RNAcentral's name for it is "HSALNT0174323". Lineage: Eukaryota; Metazoa; Chordata; Mammalia; Primates; Hominidae. The record is from RNAcentral.